RNAcentral lists this ribosomal RNA (468 nucleotides) under uncultured bacterium. RNAcentral's name for it is "partial 16S ribosomal RNA". It matches the Rfam family "Bacterial small subunit ribosomal RNA", at positions 28 to 507 of the family's 1533-position model. The record is from RNAcentral.
GACGAACGCUGGCGGCGUGCUUAACACAUGCAAGUCGAACGGAAAGGCCCUGCUUUUGUGGGGUGCUCGAGUGGCGAACGGGUGAGUAACACGUGAGUAACCUGCCCUUGACUUUGGGAUAACUUCAGGAAACUGGGGCUAAUACCGGAUAGGAGCUCCUGCUGCAUGGUGGGGGUUGGAAAGUUUCGGCGGGUGGGGAUGGACUCGCGGCUUAUCAGCUUGUUGGUGGGGUAGUGGCUUACCAAGGCUUUGACGGGUAGCCGGCCUGAGAGGGUGACCGGCCACAUUGGGACUGAGAUACGGCCCAGACUCCUACGGGAGGCAGCAGUGGGGAAUAUUGCACAAUGGGCGGAAGCCUGAUCCAGCAACGCCGCGUGCGGGAUGACGGCCUUCGGGUUGUAAACCGCUUUCGCCUGUGACGAAGCGUGAGUGACGGUAAUGGGUAAAGAAGCACCGGCUAACUACGUG